AUUGGCAAGUUCCCCUGCAGUUUGGGCUGUCUCUGUGGCUGGUUCUGCGGCGUGCGGCCAGCCAUGGAGCGCUCUGGGCCCAGCGAAGUGACAGGCUCAGACGCAUCGGGACCGGACCCGCAGCUUGCGGUCACCAUGGGCUUCACGGGGUUCGGUAAAAAAGCUCGCACAUUUGACUUGGAAGCAAUGUUUGAACAAACUCGAAGAACAGCUGUGGAAAGAAGUUGCAAAACACUGGGGGCUCCCAGGCCUCUAGCCGCAGACUGAAGGCUGCACUGUGAGCCUCCCUACCUUUGAAGUUUGGGACUCAGACUGGCUUCUUGGCUCCUCAGCUUGCAGUCGGCCUAUUGUGAGACUUCCCCUUGUGAUCAUGCCAGAUUACAGAGGGGUAUUGAUUUGCCUUGCCCCCGCCCCCACCAUCACAGUGUGUCCCUGUCCAGUGUUGGUGCUGUGUGGCAUUGGCUUGUGUCCAUAGGAGUCCAUCAAGGCAGAGCGGCAGAGUGGGAAGGCAGGUCAGCUUCCAGCUCUUCCAGGCUGCAUGUCCCACUCAAUAUCCUUUCAACCCAAUGGAAAUGGAUUGAAAGAGUGAAAGUCACUGGUCUCAAAGAAUCUACGGAAUUUAGCAUUUUGAAAAUCACAUAGCAAUUUUGGGUAGGUAUUCACCUGCACUAAAAAACCAGGCAAACAUCCGACUCCCAGGAUAAAGUGACUGAGAGCAGUAGAAGACUUGUUGAGCCUUAAGGAAUAAGAGGAAAAUUACGUUAUGAAGUGCAGGAACAGCACAGACCCAGACGAGGGGACGCAGCCCGGAGCCAGUAACCCGGCGCCACCUCCUCCCCAGGGCGCAGCGCUGGCUGAUCCCCAGAUACCGUGAUCACACGUCCCGGGUCCUGAGAGCGCCUCAUAGGUAGACAGUUCUUUGGGACUUCUGGGAUGCAGCACUUGAAGAGAGGUUUACCUAAACUUUCCUCCUGGGAGCCUGUGAUCAUUUGAAAGUAACAGAAGAAAGUUGUCAGGCUGAGGAAAGUUUCAACAGGCACUUGGUGAGAAUGGGAAGCAUCCAUUCAUUGUGAAAUCGCGGGGACAGAGGAGGAAUUCACGGGAUCAGAGCACUGAGAAACUCCAGAGGCUUCUGGUUCACCGCCCUGAUUCCACAGAUGUGGGUCAGAGGCAGAGAUGGAAGUUGGAAUGGACAAGCCUGCCCUCUCCUUGGCUCUCCAUGGCUCUGUCCUCAGGCUGUUUCUGCAAUUUGACAUGAGGCCUGGCCCCAGGGAAACCAGUGGGGCCUCAUCUCCUCCCUGUGCUGCUCUGAGGUGGAGCCUUCUCAGGGUCAGUCCAGCUCUGGAGCCCCUCUCCAGCUCGGUCACCAAAGCUGUCUGGUCCCAGGGCGGUGCUGAGUGACAGGCAUGCCAGCCAAUCCAAUCGGCAAUUUCAUAUCCAAUGCAUGUGACUGAUAAAGAGAUAACGCCCUGUCUCCAAGACACAGGCUUUACAUAAACAGCUUUAAUGACUUCUUCACUUAGAGACAAGACUCCUUAGUGGUGGAACCUCAGGCAUCCGUGCAGGACGUAAGAAAGCUGCCGUAUAUACAUGAACUGAGAAGUGUGUAGAAGAAUAAAUACUGUAAUAGGUAAUAAAAUGUAUGUAUUUUUAUUUA
This is a long non-coding RNA of Homo sapiens (human), 1657 nucleotides long. Ensembl annotates it as GUSB pseudogene 1. Its record names the gene GUSBP1. The record is from Ensembl. NCBI's taxonomy places the organism in Eukaryota, Metazoa, Chordata, Mammalia, Primates, Hominidae.